This 417-nucleotide ribosomal RNA is filed under the name Enterobacter sp. RNAcentral's name for it is "bacterial SSU rRNA". It matches the Rfam family "Bacterial small subunit ribosomal RNA", at positions 61 to 476 of the family's 1533-position model. The record is from RNAcentral. Lineage: Bacteria; Pseudomonadati; Pseudomonadota; Gammaproteobacteria; Enterobacterales; Enterobacteriaceae.
GUCGAGCGGUAGCACAGAGAGCUUGCUCUCGGGUGACGAGUGGCGGACGGGUGAGUAAUGUCUGGGAAACUGCCUGAUGGAGGGGGAUAACUACUGGAAACGGUAGCUAAUACCGCAUAACGUCGCAAGACCAAAGAGGGGGACCUUCGGGCCUCUUGCCAUCAGAUGUGCCCAGAUGGGAUUAGCUAGUAGGUGGGGUAACGGCUCACCUAGGCGACGAUCCCUAGCUGGUCUGAGAGGAUGACCAGCCACACUGGAACUGAGACACGGUCCAGACUCCUACGGGAGGCAGCAGUGGGGAAUAUUGCACAAUGGGCGCAAGCCUGAUGCAGCCAUGCCGCGUGUAUGAAGAAGGCCUUCGGGUUGUAAAGUACUUUCAGCGGGGAGGAAGGCGAUAAGGUUAAUAACCUUGUCGAU